AGGGAAUAUUGCAAAAUGGGCGAAAGCCCGAUGCAGCAACGCCGCGUGGGCGAUGAAGGCCUUCGGGUCGUAAAGCCCUUUUUGAGGGGAUGAGGAAGGACAGUACCCUCAGAAUAAGCCUCGGCUAACUACGUGCCAGCAGCCGCGGUAAAACGUAGGAGGCGAGCGUUAUCCGGAUUUACUGGGCGUAAAGCGCGUGCAGGCAGAUUGGAGAGUUGGAUGUGAAAGCUCCCGGCUUAACUGGGAGAGGUCGUUCAAUACUUCCAGUCUUGAGUGCAGUAGAGGGAAGUGGAAUUCCGGGUGUAGUGGUGAAAUGCGUAGAUAUCCGGAGGAACACCAGUGGCGAAAGCGGCUUCCUGGACUGUAACUGACGCUCAGACGCGAAAGCUAGGGUAGCAAACG
Molecule: ribosomal RNA, 402 nt
Filed under: uncultured bacterium
Lineage: Bacteria
Description: bacterial SSU rRNA
Rfam family: Bacterial small subunit ribosomal RNA
Source: RNAcentral